This 490-nucleotide ribosomal RNA is filed under the name uncultured bacterium. Its description in RNAcentral is "partial 16S ribosomal RNA". It matches the Rfam family "Bacterial small subunit ribosomal RNA", at positions 28 to 523 of the family's 1533-position model. The record is from RNAcentral.
GGCGAACGCUGGCGGCGUGCCUAACACAUGCAAGUCGAGCGGAGAUAAGAGGAGUACUUGUACGAAUUUUAUCUUAGCGGCGGACGGGUGAGUAACACGUGAGUAACCUGCCUUUUACUGGGGAAUAACAUCGAGAAAUCGGUGCUAAUACCGCAUAAUGUCACGAGGCUGCAUGGCCAUGUGACCAAAGGAGCAAUUCGGUAAAAGAUGGACUCGCGUCCGAUUAGGUAGUUGGUGAGGUAACGGCCCACCAAGCCUACGAUCGGUAGCCGAACUGAGAGGUUGAUCGGCCACAUUGGGACUGAGACACGGCGCAGACUCCUACGGGAGGGAGCAGUGGCGAAUAUUGGGCAAUGGGGGAAACCCUGACCCAGCAACGCCGCGUGAAGGAUGAAGGUCUUCGGAUUGUAAACUUCUUUGAUCAGGGACGAAGAAAUGACGGUACCUGAAGAACAAGCCACGGCUAACUACGUGCCAGCCGCCGCAGUAA